Molecule: ribosomal RNA, 253 nt
Filed under: uncultured bacterium
Lineage: Bacteria
Description: partial 16S ribosomal RNA
Rfam family: Bacterial small subunit ribosomal RNA
Source: RNAcentral
UACAGAGGUCUCAAGCGUUGUUCGGAUUCAUUGGGCGUAAAGGGUGCGUAGGCGGCGCGGUAAGUCGGGUGUGAAAGUCCAGGGCUCAACCCUGGGAUGCCGGUCGAUACUGCCGGACUAGAGUUCGGAAGAGGCGAGUGGAAUUCCCGGUGUAGCGGUGAAAUGCGUUGAUAUCGGAAGGAACUCCGGCGGCGAAAGCGAUGCACUGGCUGAUUUCUGACGCUGAGGUGCGAAAGCCAGGGGAGCAAACGGG